This 452-nucleotide ribosomal RNA is filed under the name Oedionychina sp. group BMNH 831669. RNAcentral describes it as "partial 16S ribosomal RNA". Lineage: Eukaryota; Metazoa; Arthropoda; Insecta; Coleoptera; Chrysomelidae. The record is from RNAcentral.
UCUUUUUGUUAUAUUUUUAAAGUCUGGCCUGCCCCCUGAUUAUUUAAAUGGCCGCGGUAUUUUGACCGUGCUAAGGUAGCAUAAUCAUUAGUUUUUUAAUUGAAAGCUGGAAUGAAGGGUUGUAUGAAAAAAUAACUGUCUUUAAUUAACUAUUUUAGAAUUUUAUUUUUAAGUUAAAAAGCUUAAAUAUAUUUAAAAGACGAGAAGACCCUAUAGAGUUUAAUUUUUUAUAUUAAUAAAUAUUUUUAGAAUUUAUAAUUUUAUUAUUUAUAGGGAAUUUAAUUGGGGUGAUUAAAAAAUUUAUUGAACUUUUUUUUUAUGUAGAUAUUUAUAUAUAGUUUCAUGAUCCAAUUUUUUUGAUUAUAAGAAAAAUUACCUUAGGGAUAACAGCGUAAUUUUAUUUUAAAGUUCUAAUUGAAAAUAAGGAUUCCGACCUCGAUGUUGGAUUAAAA